GAUUAACGCUGGCGGCGUGCAUAACACAUGCAAGUCGAACGAUGAAACUUAAAUGAUUUCUUCGGAAUGAACUUAAGUGGAUUAGUGGCGGACGGGUGAGUAACGCGUGAGUAACCUGCCUUACACAAGGGGAUAGCCGUUGGAAACGACGAAUAAUACCCUAUGAAACUAUCACUUCGCAUGAAGCGAUAGUCAAAGUGUUAGCGGUGUAAGAUGGACUUGCGUCUGAUUAGCUAGUUGGUGAGAAAAAAGCCCACCAAGGCAACGAUCAGUAGCCGGCUUGAGAGAGUGUACGGCCACAUUGGGACUGAGACACGGCCCAGACUCCUACGGAAGGCAGCAGUGGGGAAUUUUGCACAAUGGGGGAAACCCUGAUGCAGCGACGCCGCGUGAUUUAGAAGGCCUUCGGGUUGUAAAAAUCUUUUGUAUAGGAAGAAAAUGACAGUACUAUACGAAUAAGGUCCGGCUAAUUACGUG
This 477-nucleotide ribosomal RNA is filed under the name uncultured bacterium. RNAcentral's name for it is "partial 16S ribosomal RNA". It matches the Rfam family "Bacterial small subunit ribosomal RNA", at positions 28 to 507 of the family's 1533-position model. The record is from RNAcentral.